RNAcentral lists this ribosomal RNA (345 nucleotides) under Triticum aestivum (bread wheat). RNAcentral's name for it is "partial small subunit ribosomal RNA". Lineage: Eukaryota; Viridiplantae; Streptophyta; Magnoliopsida; Poales; Poaceae. The record is from RNAcentral.
AUGCUGGAUCAAGGCAUCAUUCAGCCCAGCUACAGUCCGUUUGCUUCGCCAGUCCUGCUGGUUCAAAAGAAAGAUCUCUCCUGGCGAUUUUGCGUGGAUUACCGGCAGCUCAAUGCCAUCACCGUUAAGGAUCGUUUUCCCAUGCCAGUUAUUGAGGAGCUUCUUGAUGAGCUUGCGGGAUCCAAAUGGUUUACCUGCCUGGACUUGAAGGCGGGAUAUCACCAGAUUCGUAUGGCACCUGAGGAUGUUUACAAAACGGCGUUCAAAACCCACCUGGGGCACUAUGAGUUCAAAGUGUUGGCAUAUGGACUGUGCUGUGGUCCGGGAACUUUUCAAGGGGGCAUG